GAGAGAAUGUGUUUAGGGGAGCCUCUCAUCAGUUUUGUAGUCUAAAAGCAUCAUCUGAGAGAGUUUUGAAAAGAUUGCUACUGCAUUUGCAGCAGCCCUCCACUUUCAUUAACGGAUUGUUUAAUGGAUACGAAAACUUAAGUGGGUUAGGAGCAUUUUGCUGAAAAAUAUUUGAAAAAUUUUGUACCUGAUUUUUUUCUCAUCAAGUUUAUAGGAGGUUGCUGUUUGUAAGAUUACAGCCUUCCAGUCUUAGAAGAAACCAUCAUUUGAGAAAGGAUUUAUAGCCUUAUAUGAUUUUUAGAAAAUAUUGAUGCAGCA
RNAcentral lists this long non-coding RNA (318 nucleotides) under Elaeis guineensis (African oil palm). Its description in RNAcentral is "long non-coding RNA (EGUI_LNC009968)". The record is from RNAcentral. Lineage: Eukaryota; Viridiplantae; Streptophyta; Magnoliopsida; Arecales; Arecaceae.